GUUAGUGGCGGAUGGGUGAGUAACGCGUGGGGAACCUACCCUUUAGAGGGGAAUAAUCACGAGAAAUUGUGACUAAUACCGCGUAAUGUGCUGAAAUCGCAUGAUUUUAGUAAGAAAGACGGCCUCUAUUUAUAAGCUGUCGCUAAAGGAUGGACCCGCGUCUGAUUAGAUAGUUGGUGAGGUAACGGCUCACCAAGUCAACGAUCAGUAGCCGGCCUGAGAGGGUGAACGGCCACAUUGGGACUGAGACACGGCCCAAACUCCUACGGGAGGCAGCAGUGGGGAAUCUUCCGCAAUGGGCGCAAGCCUGACGGAGCAAUGCCGCGUGAGUGAGGAAGGCCUUCGGGUUGUAAAGCUCUGUCCUUAUCCAAGAGAGAGGUAUAUAGUAACUGAUGUACCUAGGACGGUAGAUAAGGAGGAAGCCCCGGCUAACUAUGUGCCAGCAGCCGCGGUAAAACAUAGGGGGCAAGCGUUGUCCGGAAUCACUGGGCGUAAAGGGCGCGUAGGCGGUCUGUUAAGUCGGAUGUGAAAUGUAAGGGCUCAACCCUUAACGUGCAUCCGAUACUGAUAGACUUGAGUACGGAAGAGGUAAGUGGAAUUCCUAGUGUAGCGGUGAAAUGCGUAGAUAUUAGGAGGAACACCAGUGGCGAAGGCGACUUACUGGGCCGUAACUGACGCUGAGGCGCGAAAGCGUGGGGAGCAAACAGGAUUAGAUACCCUGGUAGUCCACGCCGUAAACGAUGAGUACUAGGUGUUGGGUAUAUUGAUAUAUUCGGUGCCGCAGUUAACACAAUAAGUACUCCGCCUGGGGAGUACGAUCGCAAGAUUGAAACUCAAAGGAAUUGACGGGGGCCCGCACAAGCGGUGGAGCAUGUGGUUUAAUUCGAAGCAACGCGAAGAACCUUACCAAGUCUUGACAUCUCUCUGAAAGCUUGUGGAAACAUGAGCCCCUCUUCGGAGCUAGGGAAGACAGGUGGUGCAUGGUUGUCGUCAGCUCGUGUCGUGAGAUGUUGGGUUAAGUCCCGCAACGAGCGCAACCCUUAUGCUUAGUAGCCAGCAGCUUAGGCUGGGCACUCUAGGCAGACUGCCAGGAAUAACCUGGAGGAAGGUGGGGAUGACGUCAAAUCAUCAUGCCCCUUAUGAUUUGGGCUACACACGUGCUACAAUGGCGUUUAACAGAGGGAAGCGAGCCCGCGAGGGGGAGCAAAUCCCAAAAACAACGUCCCAGUUCGGACUGUAGUCUGCAACCCGACUACACGAAGCUGGAAUCGCUAGUAAUCGCGAAUCAGAAUGUCGCGGUGAAUACGUUCCCGGGUCUUGUACACACCGCCCGUCACACCAUGGGAGUCGAUAACGCCCGAAGCCG
This 1366-nucleotide ribosomal RNA is filed under the name uncultured bacterium. RNAcentral's name for it is "16S ribosomal RNA". It matches the Rfam family "Bacterial small subunit ribosomal RNA", at positions 91 to 1429 of the family's 1533-position model. The record is from RNAcentral.